This 468-nucleotide ribosomal RNA is filed under the name uncultured bacterium. Its description in RNAcentral is "partial 16S ribosomal RNA". It matches the Rfam family "Bacterial small subunit ribosomal RNA", at positions 28 to 507 of the family's 1533-position model. The record is from RNAcentral.
GACGAACGCUGGCGGCGUGCUUAACACAUGCAAGUCGAACGGAAAGGCCCUGCUUUUGUGGGGUGCUCGAGUGGCGAACGGGUGAGUAACACGUGAGUAACCUGCCCUUGACUUUGGGAUAACUUCAGGAAACUGGGGCUAAUACCGGAUAGGAGCUCCUGCUGCAUGGUGGGGGUUGGAAAGUUUCGGCGGUUGGGGAUGGACUCGCGGCUUAUCAGCUUGUUGGUGGGGUAGUGGCUUACCAAGGCUUUGACGGGUAGCCGGCCUGAGAGGGUGACCGGCAAAAUUGGGAAGGAGAUAGGGCCAAGCCGCAGAGGGGAGGAGGAGGGGGGGAAUAUGGAAAAAGGGGGGAAAGCCGGAGGCAGCAACGCGGGGUGGGGGAUGAGGGCCUUGGGGUUGAAACCCGGUUUCGCCGGUGAAGAAGGGGGAGGGAGGGAAGGGGAUAAAGAAGACCCGGAAAAUUACGGG